This is a non-coding RNA of Triticum aestivum (bread wheat), 125 nucleotides long. Lineage: Eukaryota; Viridiplantae; Streptophyta; Magnoliopsida; Poales; Poaceae. The record is from Rfam.
UUCAUACUUCCUCCGUUCGGAAAUACUUAUCCGAAAAAUGGAUAUAUCUAAAUGUAUUUUAGUUUUAGAUACAUCUAUUUGUAUCCAUUUCUACGACAAGUAUUUUCGGACGAAGGAAAUAAUAU